GACGAACGCUGGCGGCGUGCUUAACACAUGCAAGUCGAACGGAAAGGCCCUGCUUUUGUGGGGUGCUCGAGUGGCGAACGGGUGAGUAACACGUGAGUAACCUGCCCUUGACUUUGGGAUAACUUCAGGAAACUGGGGCUAAUACCGGAUAGGAGCUCCUGCUGCAUGGUGGGGGUUGGAAAGUUUCGGCGGUUGGGGAUGGACUCGCGGCUUAUCAGCUUGUUGGUGGGGUAGUGGCUUACCAAGGCUUUGACGGGUAGCCGGCCUGAGAGGGUGACCGGCCACAUGGGGACUGAGAGACGGCCCAGACUGCUACGGGAGGCAGGAGUGGGGAAUAUUGCACAAUGGGCGGAAGCCUGAUGCAGCAACGCCGCGUGCGGGAUGACGGCCUUCGGGUUGUAAACCGCUUUCGCCUGUGACGAAGCGUGAGUGACGGUAAUGGGUAAAGAAGCACCGGCUAACUACGUG
RNAcentral lists this ribosomal RNA (468 nucleotides) under uncultured bacterium. RNAcentral's name for it is "partial 16S ribosomal RNA". It matches the Rfam family "Bacterial small subunit ribosomal RNA", at positions 28 to 507 of the family's 1533-position model. The record is from RNAcentral.